This 373-nucleotide ribosomal RNA is filed under the name uncultured organism. Its description in RNAcentral is "partial 16S ribosomal RNA". It matches the Rfam family "Bacterial small subunit ribosomal RNA", at positions 527 to 896 of the family's 1533-position model. The record is from RNAcentral.
GUAGGUGGCAAGCGUUGUCCGGAAUUAUUGGGCGUAAAGCGCGCGCAGGCGGUUCUUUAAGUCUGAUGUGAAAGCCCACGGCUCAACCGUGGAGGGUCAUUGGAAACUGGAGAACUUGAGUACAGAAGAGGAAAGCGGAAUUCCACGUGUAGCGGUGAAAUGCGUAGAGAUGUGGAGGAACACCAGUGGCGAAGGCGGCUUUCUGGUCUGUAACUGACGCUGAGGCGCGAAAGCGUGGGGGGAGCAAACAGGAUUAGAUACCCUGGUAGUCCACGCCGUAAACGAUGAGUGCUAAGUGUUAGGGGGUUUCCGCCCCUUAGUGCUGCAGCUAACGCAUUAAGCACUCCCGCCUGGGAGUACGGCCGCAAGGCUG